This 440-nucleotide ribosomal RNA is filed under the name uncultured bacterium. RNAcentral describes it as "partial 16S ribosomal RNA". It matches the Rfam family "Bacterial small subunit ribosomal RNA", at positions 338 to 795 of the family's 1533-position model. The record is from RNAcentral.
CCUACGGGAGGCAGCAGUGGGGGAUAUUGCACAAUGGGGGGAACCCUGAUGCAGCGACGCCGCGUGGGUGAAGAAGCGCCUCGGCGCGUAAAGCUCUGUCAGCAGGGAAGAAAAUGACGGUACCUGAAGAAGAAGCCCCGGCUAACUACGUGCCAGCAGCCGCGGUAAUACGUAGGGGGCAAGCGUUAUCCGGAUUUACUGGGUGGAAAGGGGGCGCAGACGGCAAUGCAAGCCAGGGGUGAAAGCCCGGGGCCCAACCCCGGGACUGCUCUUGGAACUGCGUGGCUGGAGUGCAGGAGGGGCAGGCGGAAUUCCUGGUGUAGCGGUGAAAUGCGUAGAUAUCAGGAGGAACACCGGUGGCGAAGGCGGCCUGCUGGACUGCAACUGACGUUGAGGCCCGAAAGCGUGGGGAGCAAACAGGAUUAGAUACCCUUGUAGUC